GACGAACGCUGGCGGCGUGCUUAACACAUGCAAGUCGAACGGAAAGGCCCUGCUUGCAGGGUGCUCGAGUGGCGAACGGGUGAGUAACACGUGGGUGAUCUGCCCCUUACUUUGGGAUAAGCCUGGGAAACUGGGUCUAAUACUGGAUAGGACCAUGCUGUAGGUGGUGUGGUGGAAAGAUUAGUUUCGGUAAGGGAUGAGCUCGCGGCCUAUCAGCUUGUUGGUGGGGUAAUGGCCUACCAAGGCGUCGACGGGUAGCCGGCCUGAGAGGGUGGACGGCCACAUUGGGACUGAGAUACGGCCCAGACUCCUACGGGAGGCAGCAGUGGGGAAUAUUGCACAAUGGGCGCAAGCCUGAUGCAGCGACGCCGCGUGGGGGAUGACGGCCUUCGGGUUGUAAACUCCUUUCAGCCAUGACGAAGCCCUUGUGGUGACGGUAGUGGUAGAAGAAGCGCCGGCUAACUACGUGC
Molecule: ribosomal RNA, 470 nt
Filed under: uncultured bacterium
Lineage: Bacteria
Description: partial 16S ribosomal RNA
Rfam family: Bacterial small subunit ribosomal RNA
Source: RNAcentral